AAAAAGACAAAUCUUGAGUUUCCGUAUCCAAUGUUUAACUAUCCGUCCUAUAUGAAAUUUUUUUUAUAUUAGUAAUUUCAUUGUUAUUGGAUGAUAAAACAUGAUUAAUACUUUAUGCGUGACUUGUCUUUUUAAUUUUUUUCAUAAUUUUUUCAAAUAAAACGGACGGUCAAACGUUGGACACGGAAAUCUGGGUUUGCCUUUUUU
Molecule: non-coding RNA, 207 nt
Organism: Oryza meridionalis
Lineage: Eukaryota; Viridiplantae; Streptophyta; Magnoliopsida; Poales; Poaceae
Source: Rfam